UGUAGGAGUGGAAUAACUCCGGGAAACCGGGGCUAAUACCGGAUGGUUGUUUGAACCGCAUGGUUAAAUUCUGGCCUGGGGCUUCCGCUACAACUUACGUAUGAACCCGCGGCUGAUUAGCUAAUGGGUGAGGUAAGGGAUCACCCAGGCCAGGAUGCAUAGCCUAACUGAUAGGGUGAUCGCUGACACUGGGACUGAAACCCUGCCCAAACUCCUACGGGAGAAUACUGUACGGAGUCUUCCACCCUGAACCAAACUCGGACCGAGCAACGCCACGGGCUUGAUAAUGGUUUUCGGAUCGUAUUGCUCUGUUGGUAGGGAAAAAAAUAUACCGUUGUUAUGAGGUUGCACCUUGACUGUACCUAACCUAAAUGCCACGGCUAACUACGUGCCAUCCACCGCGUUAAUACGUUAGUGGCAUUUAUUGUCCGGAAUUAUUGGGCGUAAGGGGCUCGCAGGCGGAUUCUUAAUCCUGAUGUGAAACCCCCCGGCUCAACCGGGGAGGGUCAUUGGAAACUGGGGAAC
This 525-nucleotide ribosomal RNA is filed under the name Bacillus sp. (in: firmicutes). RNAcentral's name for it is "bacterial SSU rRNA". It matches the Rfam family "Bacterial small subunit ribosomal RNA", at positions 131 to 641 of the family's 1533-position model. The record is from RNAcentral. Lineage: Bacteria; Bacillati; Bacillota; Bacilli; Caryophanales; Bacillaceae.